RNAcentral lists this long non-coding RNA (219 nucleotides) under Elaeis guineensis (African oil palm). RNAcentral's name for it is "long non-coding RNA (EGUI_LNC004934)". The record is from RNAcentral. Lineage: Eukaryota; Viridiplantae; Streptophyta; Magnoliopsida; Arecales; Arecaceae.
AUAGGACUGCUCAUCUCUAUCAAAGUUGAUAGAUCCCAUCUUGAUGCGCACCUUAUUCCUACAGUAGACCAACUAUUGCCAACAUCAACUACAAGGGCUCAUUAAGAUCUAUGUUUAUGUGUCAGUCAAACUUCAAUAACCUCACUGCUAGCAGUCAUAUCAUCUUAGGUCAAAAGAUCAUUCACAUAACUACAGCAUCGAGACAAUCACUGACGAUCG